GUGGGUACAGCUCAGUGGUAGAGUGGGUGCCUAGCAUGCGUGAGGUCCUGGGUUCAAUCCCUAGUACCUCCA
Camelus ferus (Wild Bactrian camel) is the source of this 72-nucleotide transfer RNA. It matches the Rfam family "tRNA". From Rfam's summary of the family: Transfer RNA (tRNA) molecules are approximately 80 nucleotides in length. Their secondary structure includes four short double-helical elements and three loops (D, anti-codon, and T loops). Further hydrogen bonds mediate the characteristic L-shaped molecular structure. tRNAs have two regions of fundamental functional importance: the anti-codon, which is responsible for specific mRNA codon recognition, and the 3' end, to which the tRNAs corresponding amino acid is attached (by aminoacyl-tRNA synthetases). tRNAs cope with the degeneracy of the genetic code in two manners: having more than one tRNA (with a specific anti-codon) for a particular amino acid; and 'wobble' base-pairing, i.e. permitting non-standard base-pairing at the 3rd anti-codon position. Lineage: Eukaryota; Metazoa; Chordata; Mammalia; Artiodactyla; Camelidae. The record is from Rfam.